RNAcentral lists this long non-coding RNA (397 nucleotides) under Daucus carota (carrot). RNAcentral describes it as "long non-coding RNA (DCAR_LNC001871)". Lineage: Eukaryota; Viridiplantae; Streptophyta; Magnoliopsida; Apiales; Apiaceae. The record is from RNAcentral.
CAAAUUUUUGAAAAAUAAUAUCCGUAUCCAUAUCCGCCGGAUAUUAUCCGGAUACGGAUAAUAUCUGGAUCCGUUUUUUCAAACACCAAAAAUAAAAUAUACAUCCUGACAUUGAUUAAAACGCAUGUUUUGAACCAUUUAAGCAAAUGUAUACGGGUUUCAAUCAUAAACUAGCUGUUAACAACUUAACAUUACAAAUUUAACACAAUCUGCAACAAAUUUAAAAAUAAAAAUCUUGAAGAUGAUAGUCCCAGUUUCUCCAAUAAUAGUCUUCUAUUUGUAGAACCUGAAAAAAUGCAAAACAAACAUUAGCUCCAAGUCCAAACAGAGAGUAGAAUUUUUUGGCUUUGAGCAGGGUAGAGAACGCAAACAGCAUGAGCCUGCUUCUCCGAUAAUC